GGAGCGGUGGGAGCAAGGGUUGGCCGCCGGCGAUCGGACGGCGGGCGCUCCGGUCGGGGACGAGAGCAGUUGGUCCGAGAGGUCCGGGGAUAGUGCUGGCCGAUGGCGGGCGGCAGCCGGUGGCGCGGCGGCGGAGAUCAAGCCCGCCCAGUCCUUCUCGGGUUCAAGGUUGCCGGCGGCGAGGCGGCGGCCGGGGGAGCUCGGGACGGCGACGGUUCGGUGCCGGAGGCCGAGGGGAAGGCAGUGUACCCCUCGGUGGG
This 260-nucleotide long non-coding RNA is filed under the name Ananas comosus (pineapple). RNAcentral's name for it is "long non-coding RNA (ACOM_LNC009353)". Lineage: Eukaryota; Viridiplantae; Streptophyta; Magnoliopsida; Poales; Bromeliaceae. The record is from RNAcentral.